Molecule: transfer RNA, 17 nt
Filed under: Suaeda densiflora
Lineage: Eukaryota; Viridiplantae; Streptophyta; Magnoliopsida; Caryophyllales; Amaranthaceae
Description: partial tRNA-Leu
Source: RNAcentral
UUAAAAAAGCCGCUAUG